This 304-nucleotide long non-coding RNA is filed under the name Mytilus galloprovincialis (Mediterranean mussel). Lineage: Eukaryota; Metazoa; Mollusca; Bivalvia; Mytilida; Mytilidae. The record is from RNAcentral.
CAACUUUUCAUUCAAGUAUCACAAAAUAAGUUAAAAUAAUCCUUCAUGGAUGUUCAAAAUAUUCAGACAAGCUUUGGAGAGUAACUUGACAAUAUUUUAUAUCUAAAGUAACUGUAAAUGCUUAUCGUUGUUUUUUUUCCAGCCCAAGUCAACAUCAACAGUGAAAUCUAUGAUCCAACCCACAACAACCUUCAAGUCAACAUCAACAGUAAAAUCUAUGAUCCAACCCACAACAACCUUCAAGUCAACUAUGGCUGCCUCAACAACCAUGGAUGCUAUUGAGACAAGUAUGCCUGCCUCCACA